UACGGAGGAUGCGAGCGUUAUCCGGAUUUAUUGGGUUUAAAGGGUGCGUAGGCGGACUGUCAAGUCAGCGGUAAAAUUGAGAGGCUCAACCUCUUCCCGCCGUUGAAACUGGUGGUCUUGAGUGGAUGAGAAGUACGCGGAAUGCGUGGUGUAGCGGUGAAAUGCAUAGAUAUCACGCAGAACUCCGAUUGCGAAGGCAGCGUACCGGCGCCACACUGACGCUGAGGCACGAAAGCGUGGGGAUCGAACAGG
This 252-nucleotide ribosomal RNA is filed under the name uncultured bacterium. RNAcentral describes it as "partial 16S ribosomal RNA". It matches the Rfam family "Bacterial small subunit ribosomal RNA", at positions 524 to 776 of the family's 1533-position model. The record is from RNAcentral.